UGGAACACCCCCGGGAAACUGGGGCUAAUUCUUGAUAGGUGAAGAACUCUGGAAUGAGUCUUUGCUUAAAAGACGUUUACGUUAUGCUCGUAGGCGUCGCCCAAGGAUGAGGCCGCGACCGAUCAGGUUGUUGGUGAGGUAAUGGCUCACCAAGCCUUUUACCGGUGCGGGCCGUGAGAGCGGGAGCCCGGAGAUGGGCACUGAGACAAGGGCCCAGGCCCUACGGGGCGCAGCAGUCGCGAAAACUUUGCAAUACACGAAAGUGUGACAGGGCUAUCCCGAGUGCCAUCCGCUGAGGAAGGCUUUUACCCAGUCUAGAACGCUGGGGGAAUAAGGAGAGGGCAAGUCUGGUGUCAGCCGCCGCGGUAAUACCAGCUCUCCGAGUGGUGUGGAUGUUUAUUGGGCCUAAAGCAUCCGUAGCUGGCUAAGUUAGUCCCUUGUUAAAUCCACCGAAUUAAUCGUUGGAUUGCGGGGGAUACUGCUUGGCUAGGGGACGAGGGAGGCAGACGGUAUUUCCGGGGUAGGGGUGAAAUCCUAUAAUCCCGGGAAGACCACCAGUGGCGAAGGCUGUCUGCUAGAACCCCCCCCGACGGUGAGGGAUGAAAGCUGGGGGAGCGAACC
This 621-nucleotide ribosomal RNA is filed under the name uncultured archaeon. RNAcentral describes it as "bacterial SSU rRNA". It matches the Rfam family "Archaeal small subunit ribosomal RNA", at positions 122 to 725 of the family's 1478-position model. The record is from RNAcentral.